UACGUAUGUUGCGAGCGUUAUCCGGAAUCAUUGGGCUUAAAGGGCAUCUAGGCGGUAAGACAAGUUGAAGGUGAAAACCUGUGGCUCAACCAUAGGCUUGCCUACAAAACUGUUGAACUAGAGUACUGGAAAGGUGGGUGGAACUACACGAGUAGAGGUGAAAUUCGUAGAUAUGUGUAGGAAUGCCGAUGAUGAAGAUAACUCACUGGACAGAAACUGACGCUGAAGUGCGAAAGCUAGGGGAGCAAACAGGAUUAGAUACCCUGGUAGUC
This 272-nucleotide ribosomal RNA is filed under the name uncultured Fusobacteriaceae bacterium. RNAcentral's name for it is "partial 16S ribosomal RNA". It matches the Rfam family "Bacterial small subunit ribosomal RNA", at positions 524 to 795 of the family's 1533-position model. Lineage: Bacteria; Fusobacteriati; Fusobacteriota; Fusobacteriia; Fusobacteriales; Fusobacteriaceae. The record is from RNAcentral.